Molecule: long non-coding RNA, 298 nt
Organism: Zalophus californianus (California sea lion)
Lineage: Eukaryota; Metazoa; Chordata; Mammalia; Carnivora; Otariidae
Exons: 3
Source: RefSeq, a predicted model, not a curated record
UCAAGAGAGUUGAGCCUUCGAGGAUUUGCUAAGAAGCUCUUAAAAGAGGGAACUCUGGUGGAUGAAUCACAUUGUUCCUUUUGGGAAAAGAUGAAAAUUUUCUUUGUGGCUAUUUUGGCUACCAGCUAUUUCUCAUCUAUUUUUGGUCACCAUUUAUCCAAGAGCUUUGAAACUCACUCUUCGAAUUCAGUACAAUGGAAGAUGCAGAAAGACUGAAAAAGUCUGGGAUAUGACGUGAUUUUCCUUUGUCAGGAGUGAACUCAUUUGAAUUAAGCAUCAUCUUUCCUUCAAAAAGUGG